RNAcentral lists this long non-coding RNA (1038 nucleotides) under Ictidomys tridecemlineatus (thirteen-lined ground squirrel). RNAcentral's name for it is "lncRNA (ENSSTOG00000034186.1)". Lineage: Eukaryota; Metazoa; Chordata; Mammalia; Rodentia; Sciuridae. The record is from RNAcentral.
CUCUGAUCUUUCCCCCUUGCCCCUGACCCCUACAGGGCAUUGCAGUCGAAUCCAGAGGGUGGUCUUUCAAGUAGUGAGGGUCACAGGCUGAAAAAUAUGGAGCGCCGCCUGACUGACAUGGAGCAUACUCAGGCCCAGCUGAGGGAUGCUGUUCAGAACCUACAAUUUCUUCCAAAGAUACCAGAGUCACGGAGUCAGCCCCUGCCUCUCAAAGCACCUUGCGUCAAUGGAGAUACCACCUGAGCUGCCCAUUCUCUAUCCCAUGUGGUCUGGGAGCAGAGAGCCGACUUAGGAGGGUAUCUGACCCUGCCUUUGGCCCUAUGUGACCUACAGUGAGGAGUGGCACUGUAGGUGCCAACCAACCACUCUGGCACUAUGAGGUUGCCCAGUAAAAUCUUGAUUUCAGUAAAAUCAGUGGUUUGUUUGUCCCUAAGGUUUGCUAAUCACGGAGUAGCCCCUCACCCCCAUUCAAUUCUCCCAAAUUCUUUCCGAAUUUGAGGUCUCCUGGAAGGGAAAUGUAAGCAGAUUCUCACCAGCUAUGUGACCUUAGGCCAUCACUCUAGAAGCCUUUAUUUCAUUAUCUAUAAAAUGGAUCUGAAAUUUUCCUACACUGUGGCAGACCCCUAAAAGUAUUCAAAAAAAGGUAUUCAUCAUUGGUACAGGCAGUACCUGUUUCUCAAGGGAGCAUGGGUCCUACAAACUCAUUUAUCCCAUACCAUCCUCACCUAAUCCUCAGGCUCCAGAUAAGAGAAUUUUCCUAAACCCCAAAUCCCAAACCAGCUCCCUCAUGGCAUGGAUAGCGUAGUCUGAGAGGCAGAUGAAGGAAGGGUAAGAAAAUGUGAAGUUCUGUGGGUGAAUGGUGAGUAAAUUAGUAGGCCUUUAAAUCAUGGGUAAGGGGUAGAGUGGAACAUUAGGCAGGUGAAUAGGUUACUAUUUGUUGGAUGUUUGACCUAUAGAUGACUAGUUAGGUAGGCAGGUAACCAGGAUGGAUAUGUCUACUUAGAAAAGACCUGGCUCAUAGUAGGAAAUAAAUAUUUG